GUAGAUAAUGAUGACUAACUGAAUUGAUGACUUUGGGCAUGGUUUAGUAAUCAGUUUCAUGAUUUCUAU
MicroRNA precursor from Bison bison bison, 69 nucleotides. NCBI's taxonomy places the organism in Eukaryota, Metazoa, Chordata, Mammalia, Artiodactyla, Bovidae. The record is from Ensembl.